UAGGUUUUGUUUUUUGUCUUUGUUCUUGUUCUGGAAAGUUCACAGACCCCAGCAAACAUGAGCCUGUAGCUUACCUAUAGGGGAGCCUGAGUAGGAAUCGCACAGGAUUACAAAGUUAAGAGGAUGAAGGUGACUAGAACAGGGCCGAGCCUCUUGCUGAUAAAGGGAGAGAAUGGGCUGAAGUGAGAACUGCUGCUCAGCAGGAACGGUGUCAGAAAUGAGAGUAAAGCCAGGGCCAAGAGAAACUUCUUGAGAGGAUUUAGAUCAAUCUGUGUUUCCAAACAGAAAGGAAACAGGGAAUAAUCAGCUGUCACAGCCAUGCUGCAAAAUGGGGCACCGUAAAAUGUGCUAAAUAGACCUUGGGGCAUUGUGAUAAAUAUGAUAAGCCUCCAGCUCUCCCCAAAGUUAAAGCAGAAAAACCUCUGUUUUCCUUUCUUGGGGUGCACUGGAAGCAGGCAUGGGCAUGGCAGAGAUCUGCUCUGAGAACAGGGAGUUCUGUGUGAAGUACAGAAGAAGAAUAUAGUCUUUAAUACCACUUAAUGCCCAAUUACAGCCUAACACAAUUUAAAUUCUAACUGAGCUACUGGUGAAUAAGGCAUGAAGAGCCUAUACUCCGGAGGGAAGAGAAGGACACAUACAGAGAGCAGUAUCCAUACUACUUACAAGCAACCGGCCCCACUGUAUAACAGACAUCCUAAAAUAGAUACUGAAGUACAACUUUAAAAAAAAUCUGCUUACGUGUAGUUUUGUACAUGAAAAUAACCGGGCAGCAGAACUACUUUAGCCUUGCUGCUACUGGUGCAGAAGGCUCCUUUUGGGCUAACACCCACGUAACCCCGAGAUGAGGGAUCUCCGUCGCCCUGCUGCUUUGCUCUCCAGGAGCUGCAGUGACAGUGAGGUCCAACCCGCUGCUCGGUGGCCCCUCGGCACACCCUGCGGCGCUCCGGGGGAGCUGAAACGUCUAAACGUAACGCCUGUUGUUCCGACCGGCGCUCCCGUGAACUUCCCAG
Molecule: long non-coding RNA, 1010 nt
Organism: Gallus gallus (chicken)
Lineage: Eukaryota; Metazoa; Chordata; Aves; Galliformes; Phasianidae
Source: Ensembl